GGAGAAAGGUCCCCUUAUAUUUUGGAGAAGGAAAGCCAAAUGUUUAAUACCUGGUUGUUAUGACGUUACCCACAGAAUAAGCACCGGCUAACUCCGUGCCAGCAGCCGCGGUAAUACGAAGGGUGCAAGCGUUACUCGGAAUUACUGGGCGUAAAGCGCGCGUAGGUGGUUGGUUAAGUCGGAUGUGAAAGCCCUGGGCUCAACCUGGGAACUGCAUCGAAAACUGGACAACUAGAGUGUGGUAGAGGGURGCGGAAUUYCYKGUGUAGCGGUGAAAUGCGUAGAUAUCAGAAGGAACAUCCAUGGCGAAGGCAACUACCUGGACCGACACUGACACUGAGGCGCGAAAGCGUGGGGAGCAAACAGGAUUAGAUACCCUGGUAGUCCACGCCCUAAACGAUGCCAACUGGAUGUUGGAUGCCUUUUGAUUUUCAUGAUCCAACUUACCCCUUUAAUUUACCCCCCGGGGAAGAACGGCCCCAGGAUUGAACUUCAAGGAAUUUGAGGG
Molecule: ribosomal RNA, 508 nt
Filed under: uncultured Stenotrophomonas sp.
Lineage: Bacteria; Pseudomonadati; Pseudomonadota; Gammaproteobacteria; Lysobacterales; Lysobacteraceae
Description: bacterial SSU rRNA
Rfam family: Bacterial small subunit ribosomal RNA
Source: RNAcentral